RNAcentral lists this ribosomal RNA (337 nucleotides) under Ganoderma australe. RNAcentral describes it as "LSU rRNA". It matches the Rfam family "Bacterial large subunit ribosomal RNA", at positions 1745 to 2083 of the family's 2925-position model. Lineage: Eukaryota; Fungi; Basidiomycota; Agaricomycetes; Polyporales; Polyporaceae. The record is from RNAcentral.
GCAUAUCUCAUAGUUGCCGAUAGGACCUUAAUGGGUGGCACAAAAUCGGAGGCCCCGACUGUUUACUAAAAACACAAUUCAGAGCAAUGAUGAAAAAUCAUAGUAUUCUGGAUGAAAUUUGCCCAAUGCCAUUAACAUAAAAGAGGUUAUGGGUAACUGUAACUGAUUGAAAGUCUGGUUAAUAGCGGUCUUAACUAUGAGGAUCCAAAGGUAGCAAAAUAAAUUGGCCAUUAAAUGUGGUCUGGUAUCAAUAGUGUAACGAUGGUCUCACUGUCUCUACAACUUGCUCAGUGGAAAUUGAAUUACCCGUGCAGAUGCCGGGUUGCUCAGUGGACGG